This 480-nucleotide small RNA is filed under the name uncultured Cryptococcus. Its description in RNAcentral is "eukaryotic LSU rRNA". The stretch from base 177 to 330 matches the Rfam family "5.8S ribosomal RNA". Lineage: Eukaryota; Fungi; Basidiomycota; Tremellomycetes. The record is from RNAcentral.
CUUGGUCAUUUAGAGGAAGUAAAAGUCGUAACAAGGUUUCCGUAGGUGAACCUGCGGAAGGAUCAUUAGUGAACGCCCUCACGGGCUUAUAACUAUUCCAAACCUCUGUGAACCGUGCCCUUCGGGGCUAUUUUACAAACAUGGUGUAAUGAACGUCAUAUAUCAUAACAAAACAAAACUUUCAACAACGGAUCUCUUGGCUCUCGCAUCGAUGAAGAACGCAGCGAAAUGCGAUAAGUAAUGUGAAUUGCAGAAUUCAGUGAAUCAUCGAAUCUUUGAACGCACCUUGCGCCCUCUGGUAUUCCGGAGGGCAUGCCUGUUUGAGUGUCAUGUAGACUCAAUCCCUCGGGUUUCCGAGGAGAUUGGACUUGGGUGUUGCCGCUCUGCCGGCUCGCCUUAAAAGACUUAGCGGGAUAGCACCGUAGUCGGCGUAAUAAGUUUCGUCGGUGAAGGUUGUGAUGACUGCUUACAAUCGCCCUC